GUCGAAUCUGGUUCGGGUCAAUAUUACCAGGGAUCAGUAACACUGUCUUGGGACUUCAUUACAGCCCCAUAACCGAUCCUAUUGGACUAUCAGUGUCUGAUCUAUCUCUAUUCUCAUGGUUUCAGCGAUGACUCAUGAUCUGCUUGCAAACUAUCUUUAUUUACUGUAAGCCAAGGGCAUCUCACAGACACUUUGAUUUUCUUGCUCUCGUGUUUCUCAGUCUGAUUGAAGACGUCCUGACCCAGAUUUAGCCACAGGUCUCCCAUAAUGUGCUACCGACUCACACAGACCCAUCGUGUCCCUACCCUGAUGAGAGCGCCCUCGCCGGGACCAUACCGUAUUCAUAAAGGGACAAAAGCUAGGGACCUGGCAUUCAAAACGGGAAAUCGAGACGUCUUAAGAUGAUCAUUGCAGACAGAUCUGCUCGUGUGGCUUCAGACAUGCUGAAGGCAGAUCAGAUCAGAUAUGAUGACUGGACACAGACCUCACUCUACAGACUUUCAUCUGAUUUACUCACCAGCUAUCACCUUCAUCAUACAGCUAGCAAUGGCUUUAGGAUAACAGAGCCGAAAUUACAUAAAGUUUAAUGACGUCAUGCAUAGAGAUGGUAAUAGAUGCCAUGUGUUUGUGAAUGAUGCUCAACAGCUCUUGUCUAAUGAGGGACAUACUCUCUUCAUAUUGGCCAGGAUAUUUGAAAGAUAUAUACUAUUAUAUAGCAAGGACACAUUGAUCAAAAGUGACAAUAAAGCAUUUAUAACAUUACACAAGAUUUCUAUUUUAAAUGAAUGUUUAAUCCUGAAAAAAAAAGAAAGGUUUCCACAAAAACAUAUUGGGCAGCA
Long non-coding RNA from Cyprinus carpio carpio, 839 nucleotides. The record is from Ensembl. Lineage: Eukaryota; Metazoa; Chordata; Actinopteri; Cypriniformes; Cyprinidae.